GACAAACGCUGGCGGCGUGCCUAACACAUGCAAGUCGAACGGGACUCAGCUGAUGGUAACUGAAGCUGAGUUUAGUGGCGGACGGGUGAGUAACGCGUGAGUAACCUGCCUUUCAGUGGGGGACAACAGAGGGAAACUUCUGCUAAUACCGCAUGAUACAGCGAGAUCGCAUGGUCUUGCUGUCAAAGAUUUAUCGCUGAAAGAUGGACUCGCGUAUGAUUAGAUAGUUGGUGAGGUAACGGCCCACCAAGUCGACGAUCAUUAGCCGGACUGAGAGGUUGAACGGCCACAUUGGGACUGAGACACGGCCCAGACUCCUACGGGAGGCAGCAGUGAGGAAUAUUGGGCAAUGGGCGCAAGCCUGACCCAGCAACGCCGCGUGAAGGAAGACGGUCUUCGGAUUGUAAACUUCUUUUGUAUGGAAGCAAUAAGGUGCACGUGUGCAUCGAUGAGAGUACCAUACGAAUAAG
Molecule: ribosomal RNA, 470 nt
Filed under: uncultured bacterium
Lineage: Bacteria
Description: bacterial SSU rRNA
Rfam family: Bacterial small subunit ribosomal RNA
Source: RNAcentral